GGAGGGUGCGAGCGUUAAUCGGAAUUACUGGGCGUAAAGCGCACGUAGGCGGUUGGGUAAGUCGGAUGUGAAAGCCCUGGGCUUAACCUGGGAACUGCAUUCGAUACUGCCCGGCUAGAGUAUGGGAGAGGGAAGCGGAAUUUCCGGUGUAGCGGUGAAAUGCGUAGAUAUCGGAAGGAACACCAAUGGCGAAGGCAGCUUCCUGGCCCAAUACUGACGCUCAGGUGCGAAAGCGUGGGGAUCAAACAGGAUUAGAUACCCUGGUAGUCCACGCUGUAAACGAUGAGAACUAGAUGUUGGGAGGGUUUUGCCUCUCAGUGUCGCAGCUAACGCGCUAAGUUCUCCGCCUGGGGAGUACGGCCGCAAGGUUG
Molecule: ribosomal RNA, 371 nt
Filed under: uncultured bacterium
Lineage: Bacteria
Description: bacterial SSU rRNA
Rfam family: Bacterial small subunit ribosomal RNA
Source: RNAcentral